UACGAAGGGGGCGAGCGUUUGUUCGGAUUUACUGGGCGUAAAGCGCGCGUAGGCGGCUUUGUAAGUUAGAGGUGAAAGCCCGGGGCUCAACCCCGGAAUUGCCUUUAAGACUGCAUCGCUUGAAUCCGGGAGAGGUGAGUGGAAUUCCGAGUGUAGAGGUGAAAUUCGUAGAUAUUCGGAAGAACACCAGUGGCGAAGGCGGCUCACUGGACCGGCAUUGACGCUGAGGUGCGAAAGCGUGGGGAGCAAACAGG
RNAcentral lists this ribosomal RNA (254 nucleotides) under uncultured bacterium. Its description in RNAcentral is "partial 16S ribosomal RNA". It matches the Rfam family "Bacterial small subunit ribosomal RNA", at positions 524 to 776 of the family's 1533-position model. The record is from RNAcentral.